RNAcentral lists this ribosomal RNA (509 nucleotides) under uncultured bacterium. RNAcentral describes it as "bacterial SSU rRNA". It matches the Rfam family "Bacterial small subunit ribosomal RNA", at positions 24 to 518 of the family's 1533-position model. The record is from RNAcentral.
UCAGGACGAACGCUGGCGGCGUGCCUAACACAUGCAAGUCGAGCGGGGACACAUAACGGAUAGGAAGUUUCGGAUGGAAUUGAAGAUAUGUGUUCUAGCGGCGGACGGGUGAGUAACGCGUGAGCAACCUGUCCUUCACAGGGGGAUAACACAGCGAAAGUUGUACUAAUACCGCAUAAGACCACGCCGGGGCAUCCCGGAGGGGUCAAAGGAGGAAUCCGGCGAAGGGUGGGCUCGCGUCCGAUUAGAUAGUUGGUGAGGUAACGGCCCACCAAGUCAACGAUCGGUAGCCGACCUGAGAGGGUGAUCGGCCACAUUGGGACUGAGACACGGCCCAAACUCCUACGGGAGGCAGCAGUGGGGAAUAUUGGGCAAUGGGGGGAACCCUGAACCCCCAGCAACGCCGCGUGAGGGAAGAAGGUUUUCGGAUCGUAAACCUCUGUCCUUGGUGAAGAGUGUGAGACGGUAGCCAAGGAGGAAGCCCCGGCUAACUACGUGCCAGCAGCUGC